Puntigrus tetrazona (Sumatra barb) is the source of this 582-nucleotide long non-coding RNA. RefSeq lists it as uncharacterized. The record is from RefSeq and is a predicted model, not a curated record. The transcript has 4 exons. Lineage: Eukaryota; Metazoa; Chordata; Actinopteri; Cypriniformes; Cyprinidae.
GAGCUUUGGCGUCGGGAGAACGAGAGGAACGUCACGACGUUCUAAUUAAUAUUCAUGAGGCGAGGCCUCUGCGUAAAAGGAACGUCAGCGCGGUCUGAUUGACGUUCGAACGAAACGAAGGAAAUAAACUCAAUGCGACCCGAAGUCCUCGGAACCACAGGCUUCAUCAGGAAUAGGACCUUUAGUCAAUUACUUGUCUGCUGACGUUUCUCUGGGAAAAGCUUUAUUGAAAGUGGAUUAGAGUAAGUCUCGCGUCCACCUUCUUAAGUGAAAGAAAAGAACAACUGCCUGAUCUACUUUCUCAAGGGUCCAACUCAGUUCCAAAUCUUCAAGAAGCUGUCCCAUGAGCCAGUGCAAACACACAUGCCAUCUGGUGGUACUCCGGUGCAGCUCACCCUGUUGUCAUGGCCGGACAACACGCCUGCGGGAGAAAAGAGAAGGAAAAAUUGGCUACAUAGAAAAGAGCUGCUCGGUGGAGUUGCCAAGACGACCACUGAGCGCUUUGACUUGCUUCAAAUGGACUUUGUUCCUGCUUGAUCAGCAUUAAUGAUUCACUACAUCUUCGACUCCUUUCUUUCAACU